This 497-nucleotide ribosomal RNA is filed under the name uncultured bacterium. Its description in RNAcentral is "partial 16S ribosomal RNA". It matches the Rfam family "Bacterial small subunit ribosomal RNA", at positions 28 to 507 of the family's 1533-position model. The record is from RNAcentral.
GAUGAACGCUGGCGGCGUGCCUAAUACAUGCGAGUCGAGCGAACGGACGAGAAGCUUGCUUCUCUGAUGUUAGCGGCGGACGGGUGAGUAACACGUGGAUAACCUACCUAUAAGACUGGGAUAACUUCGGGAAACCGGAGCUAAUACCGGAUGAUAUUUUGAACCGCAUGGUUCAAAAGUGAAAGACGGUCUUGCUGUCACUUAUAGAUGGAUCCGCGCUGCAUUAGCUAGUUGGUAAGGUAACGGCUUACCAAGGCAACGAUGCAUAGCCGACCUGAGAGGGUAAUCGGCCACACUGGAACUGAGACACGGUCCAGACUCCUACGGGAGGCAGCAGUAGGGAAUCUUCCGCAAUGGGCGAAAGCCUGACGGAGCAACGCCGCGUGAGUGAUGAAGGUCUUCGGAUCGUAAAACUCUGUUAUUAGGGAAGAACAUAUGUGUAAGUAACUGUGCACAUCUUGACGGUACCUAAUCAGAAAGCCACGGCUAACUACGUG